RNAcentral lists this ribosomal RNA (253 nucleotides) under uncultured bacterium. RNAcentral describes it as "partial 16S ribosomal RNA". It matches the Rfam family "Bacterial small subunit ribosomal RNA", at positions 524 to 776 of the family's 1533-position model. The record is from RNAcentral.
UACGGAGGGUGCAAGCGUUAAUCGGAAUUACUGGGCGUAAAGCGCGCGUAGGCGGCUUAGUAAGUCGGGUGUGAAAGCCCCGGGCUCAACCUGGGAAUUGCAUCCGAUACUGCUUGGCUAGAGUGUGAUAGAGGGAAGUGGAAUUCCAGGUGUAGCGGUGAAAUGCGUAGAUAUCUGGAGGAACAUCAGUGGCGAAGGCGGCUUCCUGGAUCAACACUGACGCUGAGGUGCGAAAGCGUGGGGAGCAAACAGG